Molecule: non-coding RNA, 28 nt
Filed under: Mus musculus (house mouse)
Lineage: Eukaryota; Metazoa; Chordata; Mammalia; Rodentia; Muridae
Source: RNAcentral
UGGCAGAAAGUUGUUCAGGAGAAGGACU